AGCGAACGCUGGCGGCAGGCCUAACACAUGCAAGUCGAACGAACCUUUCGGGGUUAGUGGCGGACGGGUGAGUAACACGUGGGAACGUGCCUUUAGGUUCGGAAUAACUCAGGGAAACUUGUGCUAAUACCGAAUGUGCCCUUCGGGGGAAAGAUUUAUCGCCUUUAGAGCGGCCCGCGUCUGAUUAGCUAGUUGGUUGAGGUAAUGGCUCACCAAGGCGACGAUCAGUAGCUGGUCUGAGAGGAUGAUCAGCCACAUUGGGACUGAGACACGGCCCAAACUCCUACGGGAGGCAGCAGUGGGGAAUCUUGCGCAAUGGGCGAAAGCCUGACGCAGCCAUGCCGCGUGAAUGAUGAAGGUCUUAGGAUUGUAAAAUUCUUUCACCGGGGACGAUAAUGACGGUACCCGGAGAAGAAGCCCCGGCUAACUUCGUGCCAGCCGCCGCCGUAA
Molecule: ribosomal RNA, 450 nt
Filed under: uncultured bacterium
Lineage: Bacteria
Description: partial 16S ribosomal RNA
Rfam family: Bacterial small subunit ribosomal RNA
Source: RNAcentral